This 74-nucleotide transfer RNA is filed under the name Deltaproteobacteria bacterium. RNAcentral's name for it is "tRNA-Ile". The record is from RNAcentral. Lineage: Bacteria; Pseudomonadati; Myxococcota; Myxococcia.
ACCCCCGUAGUGUAACUAGGCUAGCACGCGUGAAGAAUGAUUGCGUACUGCUGGUUCGAAUCCAGCCGGGGGUU